Oryza barthii is the source of this 205-nucleotide non-coding RNA. The record is from Rfam. Lineage: Eukaryota; Viridiplantae; Streptophyta; Magnoliopsida; Poales; Poaceae.
AAAAAUACAAAUCCUGGGUUUUCAUGUCCAACGUUUGUCGUCCGUCUUAUUUGAAAAAAUUAUGAAAAAAAUUAAAAGACAAGUCACGCAUCAAGUAUUAAUCAUGUUUUAUUAUCUAACAACAAUAAAAAUACUAAUUAUAAAAAAAUUUCAUAUAAGACAGACAGUCAAACGUUGGACACGGAAACCUAAGAUUUGUCCUUUU